Ictidomys tridecemlineatus (thirteen-lined ground squirrel) is the source of this 3239-nucleotide non-coding RNA. Lineage: Eukaryota; Metazoa; Chordata; Mammalia; Rodentia; Sciuridae. The record is from RefSeq and is a predicted model, not a curated record.
AAGUCAUUAAUGACCUUUCUAGUGAUAAAAGAGGACGCUGGGAGCCCAUGGCACGAAGUGGCAAAAGAGUUGCUCAGAUCAUCACCUGGAGCUUCCUGUGUUGGAGUGACUGAGCAUCUGCUUCCAUAGCACAUUUUUGUGAAAAUCAGAUGGAUAGUGGGAUUGGCUCUUUGUUUCUAACCAAAUGCGGGAAAAGAAAGUAAUGAGCUCAGAGUUUUAAAUUCCCAGCUCAAGUUCUGGAUAAGAAACUUGAAAGCUUCUGUGUCUGCCUUGAAAGAAACGCUCAUUUCCCAUAGUCACAGGGAUAAGCUUUCUGAAAAUCAAACCCAAGUCUAAUUCUGUGGGUGCAAUUACAACACUGAACUUCCGACCUCAAAUUCUGCUCUCUCUCAACUUCUGCCAUCUCUUUGCAGAUCGAAGCAGCCCUCUACCUCUGCCUGCAAAGUGAGUCUUCCUUUGCCUGAAGAAACUCUUAUGGUCUUCCCAAGGUCAGAGAGUCUAGUGGCAACGGACACCACUGAGCUGGAAUUUCUAAAUGCAGUGGGCCUGAUGGGAGCCCGAGUGGCGGGGAUCCAAGUAGCAUUGGCAUGCAGGAGGUGAGGUGAGCAUGGUUACCGUGGGGAAGCCCAGUCAGCCGUGGUGAGAGUCUGACUCUCAGAGGUCUGGGCAUUCGCUACUUUCUCAUGGUAUCCAUAGAAAUGGAAGAGGUGUGAGCCUGCUCAAGUCCUGCUUGAUCCGACGGGUGAGUGCUGGAUCUAGAGGACAGAGGUGUGACCUGAACGACCGACCGACCGACCGAGGCAGGGUGUCCUAGCCCCUCUGUCACUUCCCAUACUUGAGUCCUCUAAGGAAGGAGAGGCACAGUCCCCAUGAGGAAGGAUGUUUUACCGCCAAUCUUUAUGCUGUUAAUCUUCCUCUUAAACUUCUCCAGACACAAGUGACGGUUUGCAAAGUGACUAUGCUUUGGGGGAAAGGGAAAUAGUCACUUUCCGGAGAUUAACGGACAUUGGGUUUGAACUGACCUUCUUUCCUAGAGACCCAAAAUGUCACUGCUGGAGUUGUAGGAAGUUCUGUCUCACCGAGGGACUGACAGGUCCUGAAUGCAUCCGACCACUAUUUCCUCAAUUCUGAGAUGAAUCCUUGGAAUUCAUUGAGCAAUUGGAGGAAUUCCAACUUGGUUCCCCGACUCAGAGACUGAGGAAGAUAUGGUAGGAAAAUCCAAGUGGAAGCCACUAGAACUCUCUCUACCCAUGAAAAUAAUCACAAAAAGCAAUGCCACAUUCCCGACAGGGUGGCAGAGAUUGGGGCCACCAUGAAGGACUUGGCAGGUGCAGGGGUGUGGUGAGUCCCCUUACUUCCCCAUUCAACUCACCUUUUGGAGACAUAAAGAAAUCUGAUGAAUCUUGAAGAGUGACGUUGGACCGUUAUAAACUUAAUUGGAGGGUGACUCCACUUUCACCUGCUAUUCCGAGUGGGUUGUGAGUGCUGCAGUAAUCACGCAUCUCCUGGCACCUGCAUGCAGUUAUUGAUCUGGAAAAUGCUUUUCUACUUAUACCUAUUAGAAAAGACCAUUUGAAGUCGCUUGUUUUCAGCCAGCAAAACCAGCAACACACCUUUGCGGUCCCACCUCAGGGUGGUAUCAGUGCUCUAGACCUAUGUCAUAGUAGCAUCUGGAUUGACCUUUCUUUCCCAUGGGACAUCACGCUGGUCUGUUAGAAUUGAUGAUAUUGUCGUGAUUGGAGCUGAUGAACAAGACAUAGUAACUACGGCGGCCACGUUGGUAAGAUCCUUCCACACUGGAGGGGAGAAAUAAAUCGCCCAGAAUUUUAGGGGUCUGUAACUUCAGCAAAAGUUCUUGGGGUCCAGUGAUCUGAGGCAGGUGGAGAGCCCUUCCUAAGUGAAGGAAAUGUUGCUGAUGCUAAGAGAGAGGCCCAGUGUCUGUGGGGCCCUUUGGAUUCUGCAGUCAACAUCCAGCUACUCUGGGAGCCCUGCUGGGACUCAUUUACCAAGUGACCGAAAGGCAGUCAGUUUGGGAUGGGACCUGGAACAAAAGAAAGCCCCAUGUCAGCUGAGGACCGAGACAGUAGAGCUUGUGCUGUGGCGGAUGGGGAGGCUGUUUGCAUACCCUGGAAGGCCUUGCAGGUGAACCCCAUUGUGGACCUCUAGAAUGUGGGGGGCCGCACCCUUCUUUGAAAAUACUCUGCUGUUGAGAAAGAGCAUUUGGCUUUCUCCUGGGCCUUAGCAGAGACGGAAGGCUGGACUCUGGGCCACCAAGAUACCAUGUGGCCUGAGCUACCCAUCAUGCCCUGGUGUUGUCUCACCCAACAGCUGCGAACUGGGUGAGCAGCAAGUCCGACAGCACUCCAGGGUCCAAUGGAGCCGGUGUCACUGGGAGCAGGUGGGUCCUGAAGGUAAGUUGUAGGAGAAAUGGUUCAUGCUCAUGCCUUUCCACGGCCUCUCUCUUAAAUGACACUCUCUAAAAUGACACGCUCUCAGCAGUUCCCUAGGGCCAGCUGUCACAGGAAGAAAACCUCAGGAUGGUUCCCACAGAGUUCUGUGUGAUCCGCAGGCAUCAUGCACACAUGGAUGGGCAGCUGCAGCCCAAUGGCCUCGCACAGGACACCCCUGAAGGAAGGAGUGUUUCCUGACCAGCCGUGCACCUGGUGGCACUGUGACUUGGAGGAAAGAUGUCCACAAGUGUGGGUCUGCAUUUAAAGUCAAUGCCUUUAACGAUGUGUGCAACGAUCGUCAUAAUCAAUUUUAAAACAUUUCCAUCAUCCCCAUGCCCUAUAAUUACCCAUCUCCCUGUUCACCCAUUUCCCUCUAAGCAUAAGCAAUCAUUAAUCUCCUCCCUGUGUCUAGAUUUGCCUAUUCUGGACAUUUCAUAUAAUCUUUGACCUUUUGUGAUUGGCUCCUUUCACUGGGCAUAAUGUUUUCAAGGUCCCUCUGUGAGGUCGAAUGUAUUGGUAAUAUAUUCCUUUGUGUGUGUGUGUGUGUGUGUGUGUGUGUGUGUGUGUGUGGUACUGGGGAUUGAACCCAGGUCCCUGUGCAGGCCAGGCAAGCACUCUACCAACUGAGCUAUAUCCCCAGCUCCACAUUCCUUUUUAUAGUUUAAUAAUAUUCCACUGUAAGGUUUUAGUGUAUUUCAUUUAUGCAUUCAUCAGUUGAUGGAUAUUUGGGGAUGGAUAUUUUGCCUCUUGGUUAUUACGAAUAAUAAUGCAAUAAACAUUCAUGCACAA